RNAcentral lists this unclassified non-coding RNA (200 nucleotides) under uncultured Austropaxillus. RNAcentral's name for it is "sequence contains ITS2". The record is from RNAcentral. Lineage: Eukaryota; Fungi; Basidiomycota; Agaricomycetes; Boletales; Serpulaceae.
UUAAGUUCAGCGGGUAGUCCUACCUGAUUUGAGGUCAAAGGUUCAAAAUAUUGUCCUAGGACGAUUAUAGGCGCAGCACAUUUAAAAAGUUGCACUUUCAUGCCACGAUGAUCAUUAUCACACCGAGACACUGGUCGCACAACACAUGCUUCGCCAAUGCAUUUCAGAGGAGCCGAACCAACAAAGGUCCAGCAAACCCC